CGGCCGCGCGCGGAGGCCCACGCACUCACUGAUCUCGGUCUGAUCUAAGGGUCAUAGCAGAACCUAUUGCUGGUUGCAUAGAGACUGCUUCUUCGGUGAUCUGCUUCGGAACCAGAGGCCUGCUCCUUCCAAAAGCACAUCUACAGGAACCUUAGCUUCUGUGGAGAAGAGGCUGAUAAGCUGGAUGCUCCAAGCCGCUUCAUUCUCUUGCUUCCUAAAAGGAGAGGAGUGAGUCAUCUCCGCCCAUAGAUGGCCUAGGGGAGGGCACGAGUGUCAUUAGACCCUUUCAUCUGAGCUCUGCCUGCUGCUAGCUGGUACUCUGAUCUGCUUCCCUGUAAAUCAAGUCAUCCCCACCAGAAGAAUUGAGUUGAAGACCUGCAUGUGAAUAAGGAGGAAUGUUGAUCGACAGGGAUGGCAUAACCA
This 423-nucleotide long non-coding RNA is filed under the name Rattus norvegicus (Norway rat). RNAcentral's name for it is "long non-coding RNA NONRATT009982". Lineage: Eukaryota; Metazoa; Chordata; Mammalia; Rodentia; Muridae. The record is from RNAcentral.